UACCAAGAUCAUAAGGCGCAUAAACCAACCUCGUGUUAAGCCAACACCUCCGUCUCCUGCAGAGGAGCUCCACAAUGGGGAAAUCCACAGGUCAGCAAGAAAGCAAAAGAGACUGCGCCCUACAGAACCUUGCAGCGCAGAUGAAGGCACUCCCUAAAGUUGUGGGCUGGCCGUCACCCUCUGCGACAUCCAUUCCCGUCUCCACAGCGGAUUCUUCCCGUGAGACGGGGUCGGUGUCAGCUGAACAAGCAGCAGCAGCAGCAGCAGGCUGGUCAUGCAGAAACUGCAUGUCCUGCAGCUCCCCAAACCCCUCGUCCUCCUCCCCCUCAUCAUCAUCCACAACCUCCACGUCAGCCUCAUCCAGGCCGUCGGGAGCGUCUGGAUCCCGGCCCAAAUCCUCCAGCACGGCACCCGUCUGGGAAAACAGGUACUCCACCCCAAUCAGCUCACCUGAAAGAAACACAAGGCGACAUGAGUUUACAUGUUUUCACUCAUGUACUCAUCACUCGGGGUGUGAUGCUGUGAUUUCCAGUCCACUACCUGUGUACUCUCCAGGCUGGGUGUAUGUCUCCACCAGCGUCAUACCCAUAAACUCUUGGGUCAGCUGCUUGAGGUAAUCCUGCAGCAGGGCAUUGUAGCAGCGCGGGACCAGCCUCUGGGCUCCUUCCACUGAAGCUCUGCCGCGGUCUUCAUUCCAUCGUACCAGGCCCUCCAGCAAGUACACCUGAAAGUGCAGGGCACUGGCUGACGUGCCUGGAGACAGGGAGAGACAAAAAAAUUCCACUAUUUGGAAAACAAUCUCAACUUCAACAUCUCACAACAACACAACACUAGUAACAAGAAAAAAACUAAACAGCCGUUUGUUUCCCCUUUUGUUUCUCACCAGGUAUGAAGCCGUUCAGGUGAAGGUGGAAGGACUCCAGUGAAGUGGAUCCUCGGGCGCAGCGGUAGACGGGGAGCCGGAUCCCUCCCUUGGUCAGCUCCCCCGUCUUAGUGUAGAGCGCCACUCCCGGGGGAUCCUGGAUGCAGCUCAGGUGACGACGCUGCACGCUCCAAAUCGCCUCCAUCCUUUCAUGAUCGAUGAGGACGACGCCCAGAUCGUUUCGCAGGUCCCAGAACUGAUCCAGGAGCUCCUGGAUCAGCCUCUCCGUCUCUGCCGCGCGUGUAGCGGCGGCAGUGACGCGCCAGCUCCUUGGCAGAGAGACGGAUGUAGGAAUCUCUGCCCUCCUCUGCGCGCUUGGCCUUCUCCAGCAGAGCCAGGUCGUCCUGGUCCCACAGGUAGAUGGCGUAGGACAGCCGCGCCAUGAACUGAGGGUACAGCUGGUGGCUCUCAGUGGUGACACCUCUGGCAAAGCGUCGCAUGAGGUGCCACACGUCCAGCCUCACCACCAGCUGGUCCCACUCGGAGAACAUGGCGGAUGUGCCCGUCCGUCCAGUGAGGGAGCAGCAGUCACGGCCCACGUACAGCACCGCUGGAGGGGCCACCUGGGCUUCUCGGUACCGCCGCAUCAGCCCUGCGGCCAUGGGCAAAAGCCCAUCCCCCUCUGCAGCCGUGAGGACGGACAUGAGCACCUGGUAGAGGUGGAGAGCAGAGAACAACAAGGUCAGUGAUGCAUU
RNAcentral lists this long non-coding RNA (1617 nucleotides) under Betta splendens (Siamese fighting fish). Its description in RNAcentral is "lncRNA (ENSBSLG00000017087.1)". Lineage: Eukaryota; Metazoa; Chordata; Actinopteri; Anabantiformes; Osphronemidae. The record is from RNAcentral.